AUGCUACAGGCUUAACACAUGCAAGUCGAGGGGCAGCAUGGUCUUAGCUUGCUAAGGCCGAUGGCGACCGGCGCACGGGUGAGUAACACGUAUCCAACCUGCCGUCUACUCUUGGACAGCCUUCUGAAAGGAAGAUUAAUACAAGAUGGCAUCAUGAGUCCGCAUGUUCACAUGAUUAAAGGUAUUCCGGUAGACGAUGGGGAUGCGUUCCAUUAGAUAGUAGGCGGGGUAACGGCCCACCUAGUCUUCGAUGGAUAGAGGUUCUGAGAGGAAGGUCCCCCACAUUGGAACUGAGACACGGUCCAAACUCCUACGGGAGGCAGCAGUGAGGAAUAUUGGUCAAUGGGCGAGAGCCUGAACCAGCCAAGUAGCGUGAAGGAUGACUGCCCUAUGGGUUGUAAACUUCUUUUAUAAAGGAAUAAAGUCGGGUAUGGAUACCCGUUUGCAUGUACUUUAUGAAUAAGGAUCGGCUAACUCCGUGCCAGCAGCCGCGGUAAUACGGAGGAUCCGAGCGUUAUCCGGAUUUAUUGGGUUUAAAGGGAGCGUAGAUGGAUGUUUAAGUCAGUUGUGAAAGUUUGCGGCUCAACCGUAAAAUUGCAGUUGAUACUGGAUAUCUUGAGUGCAGUUGAGGCAGGCGGAAUUCGUGGUGUAGCGGUGAAAUGCUUAGAUAUCACGAAGAACUCCGAUUGCGAAGGCAGCCUGCUAAGCUGCAACUGACAUUGAGGCUCGAAAGUGUGGGUAUCAAACAGGAUUAGAUACCCUGGUAGUCCACACGGUAAACGAUGAAUACUCGCUGUUUGCGAUAUACUGCAAGCGGCCAAGCGAAAGCGUUAAGUAUUCCACCUGGGGAGUACGCCGGCAACGGUGAAACUCAAAGGAAUUGACGGGGGCCCGCACAAGCGGAGGAACAUGUGGUUUAAUUCGAUGAUACGCGAGGAACCUUACCCGGGCUUAAAUUGCAGAUGAAUUACGGUGAAAGCCGUAAGCCGCAAGGCAUCUGUGAAGGUGCUGCAUGGUUGUCGUCAGCUCGUGCCGUGAGGUGUCGGCUUAAGUGCCAUAACGAGCGCAACCCUUGUUGUCAGUUACUAACAGGUUCCGCUGAGGACUCUGACAAGACUGCCAUCGUAAGAUGUGAGGAAGGUGGGGAUGACGUCAAAUCAGCACGGCCCUUACGUCCGGGGCUACACACGUGUUACAAUGGGGGGUACAGAGGGCCGCUACCACGCGAGUGGAUGCCAAUCCCCAAAACCUCUCUCAGUUCGGACUGGAGUCUGCAACCCGACUCCACGAAGCUGGAUUCGCUAGUAAUCGCGCAUCAGCCACGGCGCGGUGAAUACGUUCCCGGGCCUUGUACACACCGCCCGUCAAGCCAUGGGAGCCGGGGGUACCUGAAGUGCGUAACCGCGAGGAGCGCCCUAGGGUAAAACUGGUGACUGGGGCU
Molecule: ribosomal RNA, 1441 nt
Filed under: uncultured organism
Description: SSU rRNA
Rfam family: Bacterial small subunit ribosomal RNA
Source: RNAcentral